RNAcentral lists this ribosomal RNA (253 nucleotides) under uncultured bacterium. Its description in RNAcentral is "partial 16S ribosomal RNA". It matches the Rfam family "Bacterial small subunit ribosomal RNA", at positions 524 to 776 of the family's 1533-position model. The record is from RNAcentral.
UACGAGAGGCCCAAACGUUAUUCGGAAUUACUGGGCUUAAAGAGUUCGUAGGCGGCGCAACAAGUGGGGUGUGAAAGCCCUCGGCUCAACCGAGGAAUUGCGCUCCAAACUGUUGUGCUUGAGGGACCUAGAGGUGAGCGGAACUGAUGGUGGAGCGGUGAAAUGCGUUGAUAUCAUCAGGAACACCGGAGGCGAAGGCGGCUCACUGGGGGUCUUCUGACGCUGAGGAACGAAAGCCAGGGGAGCGAACAGG